This 5068-nucleotide small RNA is filed under the name Pongo abelii (Sumatran orangutan). RNAcentral describes it as "retained intron". The record is from RNAcentral. Lineage: Eukaryota; Metazoa; Chordata; Mammalia; Primates; Hominidae.
UAUUUUAAUAGAGAGUGGGUCUGACUCCUAAUGGGAGGCCCAGGUCUGCGGCUGGCCUGGACACAAGCUGGUGUGUGUGUGUGUGUGUGUGUGUGUGGCCAGUGGCAGCACCAGUAAGUGCCAAGGAUACCAGAACCACUGGGGCAGCUGGAAUAACAAGCCCAAGUAUGGGGGUCCCCAGUGCUGGGCACAUCCCAGGUAUCUCCCUCCCCACCCAUUGCCACAGGGCACCUCUGGGGACUGGGUACCUCACGCCCCUUCUGUCCUGACUGCCCUCCAUGCCCUGCCCCACAAACGCUCUGAUAACAGUCUGUCCCUGUCUCUCUCCCGCUGCUCCUAUGGAAGCGAAGUUUUCCGCUCCUGCAGAAAGCAAAGUUACGACUCAGAGACGGCUGAGGAUGACAUCAGCGAUGUGCAGGGGACCCAGCGCCUGGAGCUUCGGGAUGACGGGGCCUUCAGCACCCCCACGGGGGGCUCUGACACCCUGGUGGGCACCUCCCUGGACACACCCCCGACCUCCGUGACAGGCACCUCGGAGGAGCAAGUGAGCUGGUGGGGCAGCGGGCAGACGGUCCUGGAGCAGGAAGCGGGCAGUGGGGGUGGCACCCGCCGCCUCCCGGGCAGCCCAAGGCAAGCACAGGCAACCGGGGCCGGGCCACGGCACCUGGGGGUGGAGCCGCUGGUGCGGGCAUCUCGAGCUAAUCUGGUGGGCGCAAGCUGGGGGUCAGAGGAUAGCCUUUCCGUGGCCAGUGACCUGUACGGCAGCGCAUUCAGCCUGUACAGAGGACGGGCGCUCUCUAUCCACGUCAGCGUCCCUCAGAGCGGGUUGCGCAGGGAGGAGCCCGACCUUCAGCCUCAGCUAGCCAGCGAAGCCCCACGCCGCCCUGCCCAGCCGCCUCCCUCCAAAUCCGCGCUGCUCCCCCCACCGUCCCCUCGGGUCGGGAAGCGGUCCCCGCCGGGACCCCCGGCCCAGCCCGCGGCCACCCCCACGUCGCCCCACCGUCGCACUCAGGAGCCUGUGCUGCCCGAGGACACCACCACCGAAGAGAAGCGAGGCAAAAAGUCCAAGUCGUCCGGGCCCUCCCUGGCGGGCACCGCGGAAUCCCGACCCCAGACGCCACUGAGCGAGGCCUCAGGCCGCCUGUCGGCUUUGGGCCGCUCGCCUAGGCUGGUGCGCGCCGGCUCCCGCAUCCUGGACAAGCUGCAGUUCUUCGAGGAGCGACGGCGCAGCCUGGAGCGCAGCGACUCGCCGCCGGCGCCCCUGCGGCCCUGGGUGCCCCUGCGCAAGGCCCGCUCUCUGGAGCAGCCCAAGUCGGAGCGCGGCGCACCGUGGGGCACCCCCGGCGCCUCGCAGGAAGAACUGCGAGCGCCAGGCAGCGUGGCCGAGCGGCGCCGCCUGUUCCAGCAGAAAGCGGCCUCGCUGGACGAGCGCACGCGUCAGCGCAGCCCGGCCUCCGACCUCGAGCUGCGCUUCGCCCAGGAGCUGGGCCGCAUCCGCCACUCCACGUCGCGGGAGGAGCUGGUGCGCUCGCACGAGUCCCUGCGCGCCACGCUGCAGCGCGCCCCAUCCCCUCGAGAGCCCGGCGAGCCCCCGCUCUUCUCUCGGCCCUCCACCCCCAAGACAUCGCGGGCCCAGAGCCCCGCCGCUGCCCAGCCGCCCCCUCCGAGCAGCGCGGGGAAGCCGGGGGACGAGCCUGGGAGGCCUAGGAGCCGGGGGCCGGCGGGCAGGACAGAGCCGGGGGAAGGCCCGCAGCAGGAGGUUAGGCGUCGGGACCAAUUCCCGCUGACCCGGAGCAGAGCCAUCCAGGAGUGCAGGAGCCCUGUGCCGCCCCCCGCCGCCGAUCCCCCAGAGGCCAGGACGAAAGCACCCCCUGGUCGGAAGCGGGAGCCCCCGGCGCAGGCCGUGCGCUUCCUGCCCUGGGCCACGCCGGGCCUGGAGGGCGCUGCUGUACCCCAGACCUUGGAGAAGAACAGGGCGGGGCCCGAGGCAGAGAAGAGGCUGCGCAGAGGGCCGGAGGAGGACGGUCCCUGGGGGCCCUGGGACCGCCGAGGGGCCCGCAGCCAGGGCAAAGGUCGUCGGGCCCGGCCCACCUCCCCUGAGCUCGAGUCUUCGGAUGACUCCUACGUGUCUGCUGGAGAAGAGCCCCUAGAGGCCCCCGUGUUUGAGAUUCCCCUGCAGAAUGUGGUGGUGGCACCAGGGGCAGACGUGCUGCUCAAGUGUAUCGUCACUGCCAACCCCCCGCCCCAAGUGUCCUGGCACAAGGAUGGGUCAGCGCUGCGCAGUGAGGGCCGCCUCCUCAUCCGGGCCGAGGGUGAGCGGCACACCCUGCUGCUCAGGGAGGCCAGGGCAGCGGAUGCCGGGAGCUAUAUGGCCACCGCCACCAACGAGCUGGGCCAGGCCACCUGUGCCGCCUCACUGACCGUGAGACCCGGUGGGUCUACAUCCCCUUUUAGCAGCCCCAUCACCUCCGACGAGGAGUACCUGAGCCCCCCAGAGGAGUUCCCAGAGCCUGGGGAGACCUGGCCCCGAACCCCCACCAUGAAGCCCAGUCCCAGCCAGAACCGCCGUUCUUCUGACACUGGCUCCAAGGCACCCCCCACCUUCAAGGUCUCACUUAUGGACCAGUCAGUAAGAGAAGGCCAAGAUGUCAUCAUGAGCAUCCGCGUGCAGGGGGAGCCCAAGCCUGUGGUCUCCUGGCUGAGAAACCGCCAGCCUGUGCGCCCGGACCAGCGGCGCUUUGCGGAGGAGGCUGAGGGUGGGCUGUGCCGGCUGCGGAUCCUGGCUGCGGAGCGUGGCGAUGCUGGUUUCUACACUUGCAAAGCAGUCAAUGAGUAUGGCGCUCGGCAGUGCGAGGCCCGCUUGGAGGUCCGAGGUGAGUACCUGAUUUCUCCAUGAACACCCACCUGGCCCUGGCCCCUUCCUUCCCCCACUGUCUGCUCUCACACAGCCUCAGUUAGAGGAUACCACCACUGAAAGGGCCUUAACGGGCCCCAGUCCAGCUGCUUAUAUUAUUGUUGAGUGAACCAAAGCCCGGAGACAGGAAGUGACCUGCCCAAAGCUGCACAGCACAUUGUUCCGUGCUCAGCUUACUACACAACCCCACCUUCCCUGUUGCUCCAUCACGGAGCCCUGGCGGCAGCCAGAGACCCUGCACCUGCCACUGGCCAAGCUCUCUCUACACUCUUCUGAGCCUUUGUCACCCUGCUCUGCCCAGGACCCUCCCUCAUCCCCCUCCCCCUCUCCUCUCGCCCCUUUGCCCACCCUCCCAUCCCAUUGCUGUGCAGAAGCUACUGUGAGGUAGCGGUGGGGAGAGUCUGGUGGCUGGACCCGUUCGGAGGGGCCCUUGGGGUGGCUUAGGCUUGGAGCAUCACAGGGACCCUAGGGUGCCAGGGUGAGCACAGCUGUGACGUGUGAAGAGGCCUGGGCCCCCAGAGCCUGGGGCAUACGUGCAGGGGCCCUCUCAGGCAGCAGGAAUGCCAGGCCCUGGCUAGGGGGCCCUCGAGGGCCGUGGGUUUUCCUCACCGAAGUCCACAACCGUUUAUCUUGCCUUCCACCUCACCCUUCGCCUCAAUGGCUCCUCGCUUCCUCUCCUCGCUUCUCACUCAGCCCCCAGCCCCUGACCUUCCCCAAGGCUCAGAGCUCAGACCCUGACAGUCAUGGUCCCUCUGCUGGCCCUCCGCCUCAGUUCCCCUCCUCUGUGCCCGCCGUUCCUGUAGUUGCCACUUCCUUGGUCUCCAGAUUCUUCAGCCCUCCUCCCUGGCCUGCUUUCUCUCCAGGGCCUGGCUCUGCCUCGCUUCUCUGUAUUAACCCAUGUCUCGGUGCUUCUUUCUCUUGGGGAUUCCUUCCGACACCCCCAGGCUUUGGGGUGCUCCUGAUCCCAUGAAUGCCUGGUUGCCCGGGCCUCUGCCUGCCCAGGAACCCCGAGGAACCAGUCUCUGGCUAGCUGCCGGCCCUCGCAGCCCAGAGCUGACCUUGGGGGAGCCGAGAGUGGCAGUGCUGCCCUGGCAGUGUGAGAGGCAGCCCUCUAUGCAGAAGGGCCCUAGCCAGGUCUGCGUGCCUGUGCGUGCAUGUGUGCGUGUGUGUGCGUGCAUGUGUGCGUGUGCAUGAGUGCGUGUGUGUGCAUGUGUGCGUAUGCAUGUGUGUGUGCAUGCGUGUGUGUGCGUGUGCGUGCGUGUGCGUGUGCAUGUGUGUGUGUGUGCGCGCGCGUGCGCGUAUGCUGCACUAACCUGCCGCUUGCUGACUGAGGUUUUUGUCUGUACACAGGCGAGUGAGCUCAGGGGGCCACCUGCGCUCCCCCCGCUACCCUCCGAGCCGCGCCCCUGUCUCAGGCACCUCUCGGACCUCGCUGUGUUUCACUGCCUCCUGCCCACAGACCCAGGCCUGCCGGCCCGGACCCGUCCCAGCCUCCCCUCCCACCCCAUGCAGCCCCCAGGGGGAUAGCCCAUGGGCCCCUGUGGACCCUCCCUCCCCAAGUGGACACAUGGCUGUGCAGGCCAGGAGGCCCACAGAUGGACUGAGUGCUGGGAAGGGGUGGCUGCGAGGGGUAUCAACCCCCCGAGUCUCUCCCUGAAGGGGAGCACCGGGCGAGUGCAUGUGCUACUGCUGCUACAGGCCUGUCUAUCUGUUUGUCUGUCUGUGUGUCUGUGAUAGUCAGGGAAGGAUGCCUCGGAGCUGAGGUGGGGUGAGACAGAGUGGGAGAGAUUACGGCAUGGCAUGGAGGGGCCCAAGGAGCAGGGGCUGUUGACAAGGGCCUUACCAGGAAGGGUUAGGACACUGACCAUUCUAGAAAUGGGUUUCGAAUGGCACAACACUUUCUAUUCCACAAAAGACCAAAAGCCAGAGGCCCCAGGCUCUGUGCUGAUGAGCAGCCUGGCUGAGCCCUGGCCCUGGCAGGUUUAGGGCCCGUUUGGGGCCCCCUCCUUCUCUGUCAGGGCUGGGGUGCUCUGUCUGGGAAUGAGGGAGUUAACCAGGUUUGGUGCAGGAACAGGGGCAGGGGGCCACUGUAGUGAGCGUGGAGAGACUUGGAAACACCUAUUUCUUAACUCAAAUAAAGUCCAGUUUGUACCC